Molecule: long non-coding RNA, 1686 nt
Organism: Spinacia oleracea (spinach)
Lineage: Eukaryota; Viridiplantae; Streptophyta; Magnoliopsida; Caryophyllales; Amaranthaceae
Exons: 10
Source: RefSeq, a predicted model, not a curated record
UUUAAGUGAUUGUCAAUCUUCAUUUGAUUUCAUAUGGUGUGUAUACUUAAUUUCUUUUCUUUUCAUUGUGUUUCACAUUUCAAGUUUAAGUUUAUAUCUCCUACAAUUUAGUUGGUGGUUCACCAGAUUCUUAUGGCUUUGGCAAGACAGCUGGUUGAUCCAGUUUUAGUGAUCUCAAAUUCUCUCCAGCAUUCUCUGAAUCACCUUCACAUGUCACUAUGUCUCUGUUGGUGUUGCUGAUUGACCCAGAACUUCAGAAGGAGUGCUUUUCGUAGGACCAGUUGUUAGUUCAAACGCAUUUGAGGCAUUGUGCGGUCUAAGAAAUGUGUAUAAGCUGGUUGAUAAUUCAGAUUCAGAUUUUUCCUUGCUAUUCAGUGCUCACACUUUCAAGAAAGCAAGGUGAUGAAUUGAUUGAAGUUGAUAUGGUUUCAUAAUUUUUUUGUCAAAGAUUCGAACACAAUUGCAACGCCAUCAACACAGAAGACAAAGCGUACAUCUCGGCGAACUAGCGUUGUGUACUGAGAAGCAAGAAAUCUGUCUAUACUAGUGUUAUGGCAUCCCAAUUGUUGUCGUUCUUUUCCUUUGCAUCACAUCAAGGAAGGAUUUUUUUGGAGACUAUUGAACAUACAUCAGCGGAUUAUUCAGAUGAGAAUAAGAUCGAAAAAGCAAUAUAUCAUCGUGGAAGGCUGAAUAACAUGAUAUGCUUGAUUGAGAUAGUGGUUUUGAAGUAGCAGUCUCUUUUGGGUUACAAUGUUGAGGGUGCCUGCAAAUCGAUUUUUAUGAGUUCUUCAAGAAGUGUUAUUCUGAUAUUGCUGACCCGGAGUAAGCUGCCAAGUAUAAUCCUUACUGGUUCAACAUCAGCUGAAGUUAUCGCAGAUAUUUCCCUUUGAUUUAUGAAGGCAGUAAAGGUAGGGUGCCUACCCGACCUGGUUUUUCUAGAGGAUUCUCUGAUGCGCUCGCCAAUUUUAUCAAGUUUGACGGAAUUGCCAAAAAAAAAAAGUUAAACAGAAUUGCCGGAAAGAUAAGGAGUUAAAGGAUCCUUACAGAGCUUCUGCUGGAAUCAAGCACAAAUAUACCAGUGUUUACAAGGAUUUCUGCACAAAGCCUCUUGAUAAUGGGUUCCUAGAGCACGGAAUACCGAGAGUCCAGAAACGGCUGUCUUACUAAUGCGCGAGGAAACUAUUACGGUUGGAGGCCAGAGAAUGAUUGCGAUCGCAAUCGAGCGCUUCUAUUAUUUGGAACAGGGUGGCAGAAAAGCUGCUAAGUGCGGGGACCUGAAAGCGAGCGAGAUGUUUGGUUUGUAGUGCGUAGAACCAUUUGUUACAUUUGCGUUAUGUUGUGGAAGUUGGUCAUUUCCUUUGUGAGAGUGUGCCCAACGUCUCGAGUUGGAAGCGAGUUGGAAGUAGCAAAGAGAGAGUAUAUGCAGGCAGCAGUUGGAGUAUCGAAGAAUAACAAGCUGUUAAUACCGAAGCUGAUGUAUUGGUAUCAACUUGACUUUGCGAAGGAUUUAGACUCGUUGGUUGAUUUGGGUUUGUCUCCGGUUACGAUGCAAAUUAAUGCAUGAAUGAUGUAUUUAUUAUCAAAUGUUGUAAAGUAUAUAUCUCCAAUUAUAAAUUAGGAAUUUUUUUAAGAUAAUGUAGUCCUUUAAAAUUUAAAUUUGUUUGUCAUUUGUGCUUAACAUAUAGA